RNAcentral lists this ribosomal RNA (549 nucleotides) under Betaproteobacteria bacterium H1.45. Its description in RNAcentral is "bacterial SSU rRNA". It matches the Rfam family "Bacterial small subunit ribosomal RNA", at positions 82 to 627 of the family's 1533-position model. The record is from RNAcentral. Lineage: Bacteria; Pseudomonadati; Pseudomonadota; Betaproteobacteria.
ACCCUGGUGGCGAGUGGCGAACGGGUGAGUAACAUAUCGGAACGUGCCCUGGAGUGGGGGAUAACUAGUCGAAAGACUAGCUAAUACCGCAUACGAUCUACGGAUGAAAGUGGGGGACCGCAAGGCCUCAUGCUCGUGGAGCGGCCGAUAUCUGAUUAGCUAGUUGGUGGGGUAAAGGCCUACCAAGGCAUCGAUCAGUAGCUGGUCUGAGAGGACGACCAGCCACACUGGGACUGAGACACGGCCCAGACUCCUACGGGAGGCAGCAGUGGGGAAUUUUGGACAAUGGGCGCAAGCCUGAUCCAGCAAUGCCGCGUGAGUGAAGAAGGCCUUCGGGUUGUAAAGCUCUUUUGUCAGGGAAGAAACGGCGGGGACUAAUAUUUCCUGCUAAUGACGGUACCUGAAGAAUAAGCACCGGCUAACUACGUGCCAGCAGCCGCGGUAAUACGUAGGGUGCAAGCGUUAAUCGGAAUUACUGGGCGUAAAGCGUGCGCAGGCGGUUGUGUAAGUUUGACGUGAAAUCCCCGGGCUUAACCUGGGAAUGGCGUU